UCCCUGGUGGUUCAGUGGUUAAGACACCAGGCUCCCAAUGCAGGGGGCCCAGGUUCAAUCCCUGGUCAGGGAA
Non-coding RNA from Dama dama (fallow deer), 73 nucleotides. Lineage: Eukaryota; Metazoa; Chordata; Mammalia; Artiodactyla; Cervidae. The record is from the annotation of a RefSeq genome assembly.